This 251-nucleotide long non-coding RNA is filed under the name Homo sapiens (human). RNAcentral's name for it is "non-protein coding lnc-MKRN1-8:1". Lineage: Eukaryota; Metazoa; Chordata; Mammalia; Primates; Hominidae. The record is from RNAcentral.
UCAAAUGCAUCAGACAACUAGGCUGGCCUGGGAGGUGGGGAGGGGCAGGGCACAGGGCGUCUGGCAGUGGUGAUGGGGGAGACCACAUAGGCUGAGUGGCCUGCUUGGAGGCUUGGGAUGUGUCCCACACCAGGGUAUCCAUGUGCACUUGCACACUGCAUGUGUGUGUUCUGUGAACACAUGGAGGGUACAUGACAUCUGGGGAGCGUGUCCCUCUGCAGAUGGGGCUGCACGCUCGGGUGCAUGGCACC